AUCCAACCUGCCGUCUACUCUUGGACAGCCUUCUGAAAGGAAGAUUAAUACAAGAUGGCAUCAUGAGUCCGCAUGUUCACAUGAUUAAAGGUAUUCCGGUAGACGAUGGGGAUGCGUUCCAUUAGAUAGUAGGCGGGGUAACGGCCCACCUAGUCUUCGAUGGAUAGGGGUUCUGAGAGGAAGGUCCCCCACAUUGGAACUGAGACACGGUCCAAACUCCUACGGGAGGCAGCAGUGAGGAAUAUUGGUCAAUGGGCGCAGGCCUGAACCAGCCAAGUAGCGUGAAGGAUGACUGCCCUAUGGGUUGUAAACUUCUUUUAUAAAGGAAUAAAGUCGGGUAUGUAUACCCGUUUGCAUGUACUUUAUGAAUAAGGAUCGGCUAACUCCGUGCCAGCAGCCGCGGUAAUACGGAGGAUCCGAGCGUUAUCCGGAUUUAUUGGGUUUAAAGGGAGCGUAGAUGGAUGUUUAAGUCAGUUGUGAAAGUUUGCGGCUCAACCGUAAAAUUGCAGUUGAUACUGGAUAUCUUGAGUGCAGUUGAGGCAGGCGGAAUUCGUGGUGUAGCGGUGAAAUGCUUAGAUAUCACGAAGACUCCGAUUGCGAAGGCAGCCUGCUAAGCUGCAACUGACAUUGAGGCUCGAAAG
Molecule: ribosomal RNA, 641 nt
Filed under: uncultured Bacteroidales bacterium
Lineage: Bacteria; Pseudomonadati; Bacteroidota; Bacteroidia; Bacteroidales
Description: bacterial SSU rRNA
Rfam family: Bacterial small subunit ribosomal RNA
Source: RNAcentral